Bison bison bison is the source of this 94-nucleotide small nuclear RNA. The record is from Ensembl. Lineage: Eukaryota; Metazoa; Chordata; Mammalia; Artiodactyla; Bovidae.
AUGCUUGCUUCACCAUCACAUAUACUAAUAACUGGAACAUACAGAGAAAAUUAGCAUGGCCCAUACACAAAACCAUGAAAUAUAUCUUAUUUUU